Long non-coding RNA from Pezoporus flaviventris, 929 nucleotides. RefSeq lists it as uncharacterized. The record is from RefSeq and is a predicted model, not a curated record. The transcript is spliced from 3 exons. Lineage: Eukaryota; Metazoa; Chordata; Aves; Psittaciformes; Psittacidae.
ACAGAUCUCUCCUAUGGUGUUUUACAUUAUUGUCAGGUAAAGAUAAUAACGUUUUGAUGCUUCCUAAUUGAUCAGAUUGUAAAAUCCAGCAGAAAAAGAUCAGCAAACAACAAAGGGUUUCUAUAAAAACAUAUUUAUUGUGCAAGACAAAAGCUCUAAACAGACCCUGUGACACGAAUGGUGACGACUAACAAAGGCUAGGAGGAGAAAAAAACCCCAGACCUUUAGUAAUGCAUCUGAUUUUACAAAGUUUUCUGCAAACCCUUUGCCCAGUUCUAACUGAGCUGAAAUGAGUGGUGAAAUUAUGGAUUAAUGAAUGGAAGAUAAAUCAAGCAUGGGGGAAAUUUUGGAGGCUUCUAAGAAACACGCUGCUCUGCUGGGGCAGAUGAACAUUUCUAAGGAUGCCUACUCAGCAUACAUUUAAGUGGAAUGAAUUUCCUUAUUGUAAGGCAAGACAAGCUCAUAAUUUAAGUGGAUAAAAUAGUUACUAACUACUGCUGUUCUGGGGACUUAAACUGACUCUGAACCAAAAAUCAGUUUGAACUGCUUUUUUUAACUUUUCUUGAACCAGAACUGAACUUGAAUGUUAUUUUGAAGCUUAGCUGACUUCAUGCUGGAAGUGAACAAUAACAGCUUCAGUCAGAGCUGAAUGUGAACUAAGCUGAAAAAUGGAAUUGCUUGACUCCUGGUGGGCCACUGCAGGCUGUUCCCCCAGCUGCUGACAGGGCUGAGCAGGAGGAGAACUUCCAGAAUAGUAACUCUCUUGGCCUCUGAACUCUAUUAACUGCAAUUGAUUUUGCAUGUUGGAUGAAGCAGGGGCAACGUUUCUCCAAAAUUGCCCCAAGUUAUUGCUACAGGAAAGGUGACCAGGUUAAUGCACUUACUGUUCCUGUCAACAGCUGAGCUCCAGGCACCGUACAUGAUUCUUG